Molecule: ribosomal RNA, 495 nt
Filed under: uncultured bacterium
Lineage: Bacteria
Description: partial 16S ribosomal RNA
Rfam family: Bacterial small subunit ribosomal RNA
Source: RNAcentral
GACGAACGCUGGCGGCGUGCCUAAUACAUGCAAGUAGAACGCUGAAGGAGGAGCUUGCUUCUCCGGAUGAGUUGCGAACGGGUGAGUAACGCGUAGGUAACCUGCCUGGUAGCGGGGGAUAACUAUUGGAAACGAUAGCUAAUACCGCAUAAGAGUAGAUGUCGCAUGACAUUUGCUUAAAAGGUGCAACUGCACCACUACCAGAUGGACCUGCGUUGUAUUAGCUAGUUGGUGAGGUAACGGCUCACCAAGGCAACGAUACAUAGCCGACCUGAGAGGGUGAUAGGCCACACUGGGACUGAGACACGGCCCAGACUCCUACGGGAGGCAGCAGUAGGGAAUCUUCGGCAAUGGACGGAAGUCUGACCGAGCAACGCCGCGUGAGUGAAGAAGGUUUUCGGAUCGUAAAGCUCUGUUGUAAGAGAAGAACGAGUGUGAGAGUGGAAAGUUCACACUGUGACGGUAUCUUACCAGAAAGGGACGGCUAACUACGUG